Molecule: long non-coding RNA, 160 nt
Organism: Thalassophryne amazonica
Lineage: Eukaryota; Metazoa; Chordata; Actinopteri; Batrachoidiformes; Batrachoididae
Exons: 2
Source: RefSeq, a predicted model, not a curated record
UUUUAUAUAAUACAUUACAUUUAUAGUUCUAUCUCUAUGCUCGUAAACGCAUCUGCUGCAGACGUCGUCCAUCCACCUCACGCACGCGUUCCGGUCACCAGAGAAAAAGACGCGAAGUACAAAGAUGAGUGGAGAAGGUGAGAGUGAGCUGUCAAAGCAA